CUUCACCGAGCCGAGCCAGAGCGGCCGGUCCUCGGUGUGGUCCUGCCCGUACGUGGCGAGCAGCGCCUGCGCCUC
Molecule: antisense RNA, 75 nt
Filed under: Streptomyces sp. 150FB
Lineage: Bacteria; Bacillati; Actinomycetota; Actinomycetes; Kitasatosporales; Streptomycetaceae
Description: ASpks TB sRNA
Rfam family: ASpks TB sRNA
Source: Rfam by way of RNAcentral